Molecule: ribosomal RNA, 229 nt
Filed under: uncultured bacterium
Lineage: Bacteria
Description: partial 16S ribosomal RNA
Rfam family: Bacterial small subunit ribosomal RNA
Source: RNAcentral
UCCGUAGGCGGGCAAUUAAGUCAGAGGUGAAAUCCCACAGCUCAACUGUGGAACUGCCUUUGAUACUGGUUGUCUUGAGUUAUAGUGAAGUAGAUAGAAUAUGUAGUGUAGCGGUGAAAUGCAUAGAUAUUACAUAGAAUACCGAUUGCGAAGGCAGUCUACUAACCGUAUACUGACGCUAAUGGACGAAAGCGUGGGGAGCGAACAGGAUUAGAUACCCUGGUAGUCC